Molecule: transfer RNA, 72 nt
Filed under: Microcaldota archaeon
Lineage: Archaea; Nanobdellati; Microcaldota
Description: tRNA-Thr
Rfam family: tRNA
About the family: Transfer RNA (tRNA) molecules are approximately 80 nucleotides in length. Their secondary structure includes four short double-helical elements and three loops (D, anti-codon, and T loops). Further hydrogen bonds mediate the characteristic L-shaped molecular structure. tRNAs have two regions of fundamental functional importance: the anti-codon, which is responsible for specific mRNA codon recognition, and the 3' end, to which the tRNAs corresponding amino acid is attached (by aminoacyl-tRNA synthetases). tRNAs cope with the degeneracy of the genetic code in two manners: having more than one tRNA (with a specific anti-codon) for a particular amino acid; and 'wobble' base-pairing, i.e. permitting non-standard base-pairing at the 3rd anti-codon position.
Source: RNAcentral
GCCUGGGUAGCUCAGUGGUAGAGCGAUUGUCUUGUAAGCAAUAGGUCGGGGGUCCAAUUCCCUCUCCAGGCU